RNAcentral lists this long non-coding RNA (3562 nucleotides) under Numida meleagris (helmeted guineafowl). Its description in RNAcentral is "lncRNA (ENSNMEG00000018658.1)". Lineage: Eukaryota; Metazoa; Chordata; Aves; Galliformes; Numididae. The record is from RNAcentral.
UCUAAGAAGAAUUCAGAACAAUGAGAAAAGCCACCUACACCUGGCCAUCAAUAGACAAAGAGUGUGAGCUGCCUGAGAACUUAUAUAAGGAAGAACAAAAGUUUUUUUCAGUGCCUUGGAUAUGUUUUUAGAUUAAUCUGAAAUAAACCUGUUAAGGUCGUUCUUUUGUAUAUACAAUGGACUGGUAGUCACUCUAAUCUCAGGCAAGAAAGAAAUGUACUUCAAAGCUCAUGUAAUGCUCAGAGAAGCUUCCACUUCCAGGGCUUUAUUCAGACUGAUCGUACUUUGCUUGCCUUUCUGUGUUCUGAUAUUUUAUGAACAGAUGGAAUGUUCUGCAAAUUGGGAUGUGCACAUAUAUGUGGUUGUUGAAAGAGAAAAUGUUACUUAGACUAACAGGAGUUCUUAGGUACACCAUCUUUAUUCAUGUGGUGUAACUAAUCUAGCAUCAACCUGUGCCUUAGAGUUUUGUGUGACUCUAUCUUGAGUCAGUGGGAAAUUGGGAUGUGGUUUUUGUGAGUGUCUCUGAGCCUUUCCUUUCAAAUGCAAAGAUUUGGGAUGCACAUGCAGAGAAAAGUGCUUCUCCCAUAGGAUUCACAAGUAUAAGCUGUGGAAUGUGCAUAUGAAAAAUAAAUCUUGAAAAGUUCUCAUUCGUGUAAGGAAUUCUAUUGGAUGUAGGAGUCGCGUAGCACUAAGCACAUUAUUGUGGAAAUGGUGAACAACAACAUGCAAAAGGCUUUUAAAAUGUCAGGAGAGCACGGAUGCAAUAACAAUUGCACUAGUUGGCUGCUGACAACGCUCGUUAGAGAUCUGGAUAACCACAAACAGGGAUGGAGCACUCAUUCACUCAGAAUAAAGAGAACUGCAAGGAUGGAUCAGAGAGAGCAGGUUGCUUAUGGAAGUGGAACCCCUUCAGAAGCCAAGGUUUAUGUGAUGGAGAGACGCUGGGGUAUUGGAGAGGAGAAAGCUGUAGAUCUCCCAUUAGCACUACCAAAUUCAGUGCACAUCUUCAAGAUUUUACAGCCCAUCUGAUUUCACUGCUGCUGCUAGUGGUUAAGAUCGAAUGUAAAGGCGGAUCUUUAAAAAAAUGCAAUCUUUUCAAGAGGGUCACAGUUAGCAGAGUUGUCUGAAAUGUAGUAGAGGUGAACAGGAAAUGUGUAACAUUACUUAUUUGCCAUAGGGAUAUUACUCACAUACAUGUAACAUUCAAUAAUUUCUGAAUGAGAAUGAGAUGAAUGAGAUAAAGAGGGGGAUUCAUUAACAGGAAAGCCAGAAUACAAGACUUUAAAACUCAAAGGCAGGAAAAUAUGACUUGGAAAAAGAAGAGGUUGGGGCUGCCUCAAGGGUUGUCUUCCUUUUGAGGAAUCAGGCCUGAAGCAAGGGCAAUAUCACCUGAGAGGAGAACAGUCUACUGCUGCUGGUACUGGUAUCCCAACACCAGAGAUCACCUGUUCAUAAUGUGUGAUACAGCCAGAAAGAUGACCUUAUAAAAAGGUAUUCAAAAAACAUGAUGCAGUACAGCUUAUAAGUUGAGUAUCAGGUCAUCCAUGCCAUGGACAGUGGAAAUCAAAAAGACACCUUCAGUUCUUCCAAGAAAGGACUUAACAGGGAAGGUUUCUCUAUUGACUAGAGACGGAACCUAGGAGCCUAAGUUAGAUACCUCAGAUGAGGUCUGAUAUUUAAUACUGGCCUGGAUCUCAGAGGUUGGCAUGGUAAGGAGGGGGGAAAGCAGAGCUAACAGAGGAUAAGGAACUAGCUCUCAAGCAGGAGGUAGGGGAGAGGGAUGUGAGAGACUAAUAGCAGUCAUUUACAGUGAGGUAAAAAUGAGUUAAAAGGAAAUUAUAGCCUCUGUUAUCUGUGGAAAGGACUAAUAAUUACUAGGUGAGUUUAAUUCAUAGAGUUGUGACUGUAUUAGGCUAUAUCUCCACAUCCUCUUGCUUCUCAUGCGUGUCAGGGACAAAAGGCCUAUAAUAUUUCUCUAGUUUGAUCUCUGAUACAAUAUAGAUCAAAGAACCUUGCUCUGAUUCCUGCAUUGCACCUAUAAUUUUGGAUUGAACUAUGACAUAUCUUGGUUAUAGAUAGAAUAGCUGCUUAAUGGUCCAUCAGAAAGUAAUGAAAAAUCACAGCUUAUGGCCUCAACUCAUCUAUGUAAGAGAAAGACUUUUCUAGUGCCAAGAAUGCUCUGAUUUUUAGUUCUCAAACUAGUUCAGUAAAAUUUAAACAUCACACUUCUGGUAAAAACUCUCUCAAAACUGCAUUUCAGUAACUGAAAAUUCUGAAAACAGUCUAAGUAAUCUUUUAUUGCUAUGUUCAAUGUGUAUAUCAUUGUAUUUUUCACCUGAAACUGGGCUCAAAUACAUUUUUUUAUUGAGUCAGCCUACAGCACAAGGUUAGGAGUAAACAUGUACAUUAUUUUAUUAUAAAUUUUCUGUUACCUGCACAUAAUGCUUUUACAAUAGCCAAACUGUGCCGAACGUUCAGAUCAGCGCUUCAGAGCAUUUAUGUCCUAAAAGCAAAACAGGCUCAAUACAUGAACACAAAUCAACAACUGGCAAUAGCAUAGCAUAUAACACACUUGCAAACUGCCUUAUAAAUACAAAAAAUGAAGUGCAAAGUAGAGAAGAAUGUUUGCCUUUAAGCUACUCCUUUCUAACUUGUAAAUAUAAUCUCAGGUUUCUUCAUAAGCAGACUUGUAUUAUUCUGUAUUUCCAUUAGUUAUUCAGAGAAUUUCAUCUGACUGCCCUGUACUGAAGGACCUCUUUUUAUCUUCAUAGAACCAGAAUAAUGAGACCAUAAAAGUGAUGGAAUCUGCACUUCUUUCUUCCUAUUUGUGAGUUUCACUUCAUUUCAUUCUCUUUCCUUUAAGCAAAAGAAGGCAGCAUUGCUAUCCUGAGAUUUUUUCCUUGAUUAGGAAUACACAUACAUGGAAAAUCCAAUCAUGGAAAAAACAUUUUAAAUUGUAAAUAGGUAUAGAAAUCAAUACUGUUAAUUCACCACUCAAUUUUAAGACUUUUUUUCUUUCCUCUCCACCCAUUAUUUCCAGUUACUCAGUGUGUGGAGAUUCAGUUGAAAUGAAGACAUGGUGAAGCUAGAUAGUUUACUUAAAUGUAUACAGGCAUUUUGUGGAGUAAUAUAUACUAUAUUCUUCUGACUUCUUGUCCUUCCUAGGGUUCUUUUACUCAAGUGCUAUAAUGUAUCAAGUAAAUCAUUGCUUGACAUUGCUGGGUGAUUUGAAAAAUGAAGUUUACAUGUGAACAGUGGAACCUGAGCAGGCUGGGCUCAUAGUUAAAUGAGGAAAAAGUACUCCAAUUUUUUUCCGGUUGUUUAGUUUGGAAGCAGUCUAGGGCACUAAUAUAACCUCCCCAAGAUAAUGUGAUCAGCUAAAUCAAAGGCUUUUGCAGGCUUUAAAAAAACUGAGGCCAAUCAGAUGGCAAUUAUCCACUGCUAUUCAGCAUUUACGUAGAACCUGAUUCUGAUAGUAGUUUCUUUUUUUUUUUUAAAGAAGUUCUCUUUUAUUUAUAAUUUAUAUGCAUCUCAAUAAAUGUCAGUAGCAGCUUCUGUAACA